AGGGGUAUAGCUCAGUUGGUAGAGCGGCGGUCUCCAAAACCGCAGGUCGUAGGUUCGAGCCCUGCUGCCCCUGCCA
This 76-nucleotide transfer RNA is filed under the name Martinezella rhizogenes. RNAcentral describes it as "Agrobacterium rhizogenes tRNA-Trp". It matches the Rfam family "tRNA". Rfam says of the family: Transfer RNA (tRNA) molecules are approximately 80 nucleotides in length. Their secondary structure includes four short double-helical elements and three loops (D, anti-codon, and T loops). Further hydrogen bonds mediate the characteristic L-shaped molecular structure. tRNAs have two regions of fundamental functional importance: the anti-codon, which is responsible for specific mRNA codon recognition, and the 3' end, to which the tRNAs corresponding amino acid is attached (by aminoacyl-tRNA synthetases). tRNAs cope with the degeneracy of the genetic code in two manners: having more than one tRNA (with a specific anti-codon) for a particular amino acid; and 'wobble' base-pairing, i.e. permitting non-standard base-pairing at the 3rd anti-codon position. RNAcentral also lists the same sequence under 145 other names. The record is from RNAcentral. Lineage: Bacteria; Pseudomonadati; Pseudomonadota; Alphaproteobacteria; Hyphomicrobiales; Rhizobiaceae.